UACAGAGGGUGCGAGCGUUGUCCGGAAUCACUGGGCGUAAAGGGCGCGUAGGCGGCUUUGCAAGUGGCGGGUGAAAUCCCUCGGCUUAACCGAGGAACUGCCUGUCAAACUGCAUGGCUUGAGACCAGGAGAGGUGAGUGGAAUUCCCAGUGUAGCGGUGAAAUGCGUAGAUAUUGGGAGGAACACCAGUGGCGAAGGCGGCUCACUGGACUGGUACUGACGCUGAUGCGCGAAAGCGUGGGGAGCAAACAGG
RNAcentral lists this ribosomal RNA (253 nucleotides) under uncultured bacterium. RNAcentral's name for it is "partial 16S ribosomal RNA". It matches the Rfam family "Bacterial small subunit ribosomal RNA", at positions 524 to 776 of the family's 1533-position model. The record is from RNAcentral.